This 456-nucleotide ribosomal RNA is filed under the name Triticum aestivum (bread wheat). RNAcentral describes it as "partial small subunit ribosomal RNA". The record is from RNAcentral. Lineage: Eukaryota; Viridiplantae; Streptophyta; Magnoliopsida; Poales; Poaceae.
AUGGAGCUGGGAAAGCAUUGCCUCUACACGAAAGUGAUCGUGAUCUUCUUUCCGUCAGUACAUGAUGAGCACUGGUUCUUGUUCGUUGUUGACAUUAUAGCAAGAAAGUUUGUCUUCCUAGAUUCAUAUGAAGGGAACACACCAUUCCACAUCGGGAUCAGAGAUUUGAUGAUAAACAAUUUCAUAAAAACAUGGGAAGAUUCUAAUCUGAGAGGAAUGAGUUUCAGAAAGUUUGGUGUAGAGUACCCAAACAUGCCAAAGCAAAUCGGAAGCGACGCUUGUGGGAUUUUUGCUCUUAACUGGAUGCAAACUUGGGCUUCGCGAAAUCCUCUGCAGCGACAGUUCACAAUGAACGACGUAGCAAACGCAAGGGUCAGAUUUGCUGUUGACAUUCUAUUUAGUAUUCACAACACAGAGGAUCAAGGCAAAACACUCGUCAAGAACUUCGCAUGGUAA